RNA transcript from Vigna angularis (adzuki bean), 2304 nucleotides. RefSeq lists it as uncharacterized. The transcript has 6 exons. The record is from RefSeq and is a predicted model, not a curated record. Lineage: Eukaryota; Viridiplantae; Streptophyta; Magnoliopsida; Fabales; Fabaceae.
CUGUUGCAAAAAAGGGCAAGAGGAUCAGAGGAGUUACCGUGAUCCAUUGUUGUUCUCUAUCUUAAGUUUUUAUUUCUCUCUCUAGAAUUUUCUAUCUGCUCGUCCUUCCUCACAAAUUAGGGUUUUUGCGAAUCUCUUGUUAGUCUGUAAUCGAAUCGUAGCCAUGGUUUCCGAUUCAAUCUCUGCCGUGCCGAUUCCCUCCGCCGCAAACACUAAGAACCCCGGGAAGAAGAAGAGGACUAACAGGUCUGCAAAAUUGAAGCAGUAUAAAAUCGAUGCGCGCCGCGAACAGUGGCUUUCGCAAGGUGUGGUGAAGAGUAAGGGAUGCAAGGACGGUGUGGACGAUGGCGUCGUUCACGCGCCGCCGCCGUUGGUAAAUCACGGCAAUCACUCCUUGGAGCCUCUUAACACGAGGCGCGAAGGCGAAGAAGACGACGAAUUGAUUCAUCAUGACAGCGAUUCGGAGUCUCCUACCAACUGUCCUGCCGGCGUAUUGUGUGGCAAUGAUUCGGGAACAAACUUCACCGGAAGCAGUAGUGGCGGGAGCAGCAGCAGCAGUUCAAGCAGCGGCGGGUGCUGUUCCGGGAACAUUACCGAGGAGGAGGAGGAAGAAGGUGAGGACGAGGAUGAUGGUUGCUUGGAUGAUUGGGAGGCCAUGGCAGAUGCUUUAGCCGCCGAUGACAAGCACGAAAUUCCUUGUUCUGAUUCACCCCCUGUGGUUUUACCUCGUGAAGGAUCCAAUUUAGAGUCUCCGAAUUCAAAACCCGAGAGUAGUAGAUUGGUUCCUUGGGGCUCUGGUAGUAGCCGAGCGUGGAGGGCCGAUGACGCCUUUCGCCCUCAGAGUUUGCCCAAUUUGUCUAAGCAGCACAGUAUGCCGAACCCUGAUCGCCGCAGUGUUGGAGGGGUCCCCUGGGCUCGUGUCUCCACGCCUUCCUCGUGUCCUAUUUGCUGUGAGGAUCUGGAUUUGACGGACACCAGUUUCUUGCCUUGUUUUUGUGGGUUUAGGCUUUGCCUCUUUUGCCACAAGAGGAUUCUGGAGGAGGAUGGGCGUUGUCCCGGGUGUAGGAAGCCUUAUGAGUGUGAACCAGUUGAGACAGAGGCGAGUGUGCAUGGAGGCAACCUCACUCUUAAGUUGGCACGUUCCUGCAGCAUGAUCGAGAGGUCUUGAGCCCGUGGUUUGAUUCAGUUUCGGUCAAAGAAUAAUUUGUCCUUCCUGCUUCCUUGGGGUUCAAAUAAGUGGUACAUGACAGGUCUACCAUUGAUUUCAAUCAACUACCAUCCGGUCAUCAUCUUCACUCCUUGUAAUCUUUCAAAAUUGUUACUGGUUUGGGGUUUGUUGUAGUGUAGACAAUGGAACUGAUCACAUGAAAGACAGAUGACACAAUUGUUCGAAUAUUUGAGAAAUAGAACUAUUAUGAGACAUACGAAUACAUACAUAAUCAGGCUGCUCUGCUAGUGGUAGUUAGGUCUAUCCUUUUUUUGUUUGAUGAUGUUCUGAAAUAAGCUAAAGAAAUAGGAAUCUAGUCCAGCUUUUUUACUGGUUAGGUUGUGUUGUUUCUAUGAUGUGUAUUUACACUAAUUUUAAUAUUUUAAAAUACAUUACAAAAUUUUGAAAUAUCAAAAUUGGUGUAACUUGGAGGCACAACAGGAAGAUAACACAACAGCCAAAAAACAUGAAUCCCUUCGGAAUUAGGAUAAAAUUUUAGUAAGUUUGAACGUUCUGAUGAUUAGAUUUAACCAGUGUGAUAAAGUAAUAGCAGUUGCUGGAAUGUCGCUUUGCAAACAGAAGACGUUUGGGCCAUUGAGAGUGGAAACAUGCACAUGAAAAGUUAACUCUUGUAAACGUAAUUGAACAUGCUGUACAUGUGAGUAAAUUAGAUUUGGGAAGUACCCCUAUAACUUUCUGGUUACCUUGCUUGGUUGUUUUGUAUUGGUAAAGUUGUUGAUGUGUAAGGAAAUCGCGAGACCUUUUAUCUCAAAAAAUCUGCAUGUUGUACACACUAAGCAACCAAAUGUAAUAUACCCUGUAUUGUUUUAGAUAUUAUUAUUGCGGUAAGUUCGCUCAGUUUUAUGAAUAGGAAGGUGGGUAAGACUUGAUGAUGCUGUAUCUGGUUUUCUGCGGCUUUGAAGCGUAUGCUUAUGGCAAAAGAUAGGUUUUUAAAUUGAAGAUUGUAAUGGACGGUCAACUAAUAUCUCGAAUGAUAAUUUUCUGCUGUUGUUAGCCAUUAUGCUUUUCCUGUAUAGUGCUUCGUUUGCAGUUCGUAAAAUAGUGGUUGGCACAAUAUUAACUUAAUUGUUUUUACA